Molecule: ribosomal RNA, 465 nt
Filed under: Triticum aestivum (bread wheat)
Lineage: Eukaryota; Viridiplantae; Streptophyta; Magnoliopsida; Poales; Poaceae
Description: partial small subunit ribosomal RNA
Source: RNAcentral
AUGCUUUACAUUAUCCGCUUGCACGGUGAUACUUCUACCCGAUCUCAAUCUCGAAUUUGUGAUGAUACUUCAGAGCAUGAAGGGGAAUUUGUGCGCGCUUAUCCUCACCAUAUACUCGUAUACCAGCAGCUUGGUGUCCACUCCAGAGAUGUAGCCGGGCAGCUUGAUGAUGUUUCUGUGCUGUAUGCCGCCCAACACUGUGGCCUCCGACUCGAAUUGUUUGUCAAGCUCCGCCUCCGUGACCUUGUUCCAUGCUCACAUGUCAGAAGAUUUAUCUUCGUGCCCUGUUUUGCACAAAGGCCACUGUUGGCAAGGAAAGCUGCGCUCGUAUACUGCAAUUUUGUUCAGGAGGUGAAGGACGAUAUGAAAGAUCUAUCUGCUUAUGGGGCAUCUUGUUCAGGAGGAGUACUUUGCGGUUACUCCAAUUCAUCCAGGGCAUUCAUCGAGCCUGAGCAUGCACCUUAA